GACGAACGCUGGCGGCGUGCCUAAUACAUGCAAGUCGAACGCUUCUUUUUCCACCGGAGCUUGCUCCACCGGAAAAAGAGGAGUGGCGAACGGGUGAGUAACACGUGGGUAACCUGCCCAUCAGAAGGGGAUAACACUUGGAAACAGGUGCUAAUACCGUAUAACAAUCGAAACCGCAUGGUUUUGAUUUGAAAGGCGCUUUCGGGUGUCGCUGAUGGAUGGACCCGCGGUGCAUUAGCUAGUUGGUGAGGUAACGGCUCACCAAGGCGACGAUGCAUAGCCGACCUGAGAGGGUGAUCGGCCACAUUGGGACUGAGACACGGCCCAAACUCCUACGGGAGGCAGCAGUAGGGAAUCUUCGGCAAUGGACGAAAGUCUGACCGAGCAACGCCGCGUGAGUGAAGAAGGUUUUCGGAUCGUAAAACUCUGUUGUUAGAGAAGAACAAGGAUGAGAGUAACUGUUCAUCCCUUGACGGUAUCUAACCAGAAAGCCACGGCUAACUACGUGCCAGCAGCCGCGGUAAUACGUAGGUGGCAAGCGUUGUCCGGAUUUAUUGGGCGUAAAGCGAGCGCAGGCGGUUUCUUAAGUCUGAUGUGAAAGCCCCCGGCUCAACCGGGGAGGGUCAUUGGAAACUGGGAGACUUGAGUGCAGAAGAGGAGAGUGGAAUUCCAUGUGUAGCGGUGAAAUGCGUAGAUAUAUGGAGGAACACCAGUGGCGAAGGCGGCUCUCUGGUCUGUAACUGACGCUGAGGCUCGAAAGCGUGGGGAGCAAACAGGAUUAGAUACCCUGGUAGUCCACGCCGUAAACGAUGAGUGCUAAGUGUUGGAGGGUUUCCGCCCUUCAGUGCUGCAGCUAACGCAUUAAGCACUCCGCCUGGGG
RNAcentral lists this ribosomal RNA (880 nucleotides) under Enterococcus hirae. Its description in RNAcentral is "bacterial SSU rRNA". It matches the Rfam family "Bacterial small subunit ribosomal RNA", at positions 28 to 878 of the family's 1533-position model. Lineage: Bacteria; Bacillati; Bacillota; Bacilli; Lactobacillales; Enterococcaceae. The record is from RNAcentral.